GACGAACGCUGGCGGCGUGCUUAACACAUGCAAGUCGAGCGGUAAGGCCCUUUCGGGGGUACACGAGCGGCGAACGGGUGAGUAACACGUGGGUGACCUGCCCUCAGCUCUGGGAUAAGCCUGGGAAACCGGGUCUAAUACUGGAUAUGACUCCAUGACGCAUGUUGUGGGGUGGAAAGCCUUGUGCGGCUGAGGAUGGGCCCGCGGACUAUCAGCUUGUUGGUGGGGUGANGGCCUACCAAGGCGACGACGGGUAGCCGGCCUGAGAGGGCGACCGGCCACACUGGGACUGAGACACGGCCCAGACUCCUACGGGAGGCAGCAGUGGGGAAUCUUGCGCAAUGGGCGAAAGCCUGACGCAGCGACGCCGCGUGAGGGAUGACGGCCUCGG
This 391-nucleotide ribosomal RNA is filed under the name uncultured bacterium. Its description in RNAcentral is "bacterial SSU rRNA". It matches the Rfam family "Bacterial small subunit ribosomal RNA", at positions 28 to 420 of the family's 1533-position model. The record is from RNAcentral.